AUAUACAGUAAGCGGCCAAGCGAAAGCGUUAAGUAAUCCACCUGGUGAGUACGUUCGCAAGAAUGAAACUCAAAGGAAUUGACGGGGGCCCGCACAAGCGGAGGAACAUGUGGUUUAAUUCGAUGAUACACGAGGAACCUUACCCGGGCUUGAAAUGUAUCUGACCGGCACAGAGACGUGCCUUCCCUUUGGGGCAGAUAUGUAGGUGCUGCAUGGUUGUCGUCAGCUCGUGCCGUGAGGUGUCGGCUUAAGUGCCAUAACGAGCGCAACCCUUAUUGCUAGUUGCCAUCAUUAAGUUGGGAACUCUAGCGAGACUGCCGUGGACAACACGGAGGAAGGUGGGGACGACGUCAAAUCAUCAUGCCCCUGAUGUCCUGGGCUACACAC
Molecule: ribosomal RNA, 387 nt
Filed under: uncultured bacterium
Lineage: Bacteria
Description: bacterial SSU rRNA
Rfam family: Bacterial small subunit ribosomal RNA
Source: RNAcentral